GAGAUAUCAUCAUUUUUCUUCAGCAAAAACGCCAUGGGAGGUCUGAAAGCUGCUGGUUUUUCAUACUUUGACAUAUGUAGUACAUACGAGGUGUACAAAUCAAUGAUUCGUCAAUUCAGUGCUUAUUAAAGCACAUAAUCGGGAAGCACUCUCUCGAGCCAUAUAACGGGAAGCUCAUGUGAGCCAUGUAAUGGGAAGCUUAUCCGGGAUAUAUAACGGGAAGCUCAUAAGAGCCAUAUCCAGGAAGCUCGUGUGAGCCAAUAACGGGUAGCUCCGAAGAGCCAUUAAUCAAGAAGCUCCGGAUAGCUAUAUAUCAGGAAGUUCAAGCGAGCCAUAUCGGGAAUGUGACAUCCCUAAUUUGACUCUAGUCGGGAAGUGGUUUCAAGACCCCAAAACCGAGUCACACAAGAAAUUGAUUGUUAAAUUUCAUGUCUAUAUUAUGUUACAAUUUGUGUGUGAAAUUUUGAUGCUUUGAUUUUGUCAAUUGAAUGCAAAUUUAAUCAAAAA
Gossypium arboreum is the source of this 507-nucleotide long non-coding RNA. RefSeq lists it as uncharacterized. The transcript is spliced from 2 exons. The record is from RefSeq and is a predicted model, not a curated record. NCBI's taxonomy places the organism in Eukaryota, Viridiplantae, Streptophyta, Magnoliopsida, Malvales, Malvaceae.